GACGAACGCUGGCGGCGUGCUUAACACAUGCAAGUCGAACGGAAAGGCCCUGCUUUUGUGGGGUGCUCGAGUGGCGAACGGGUGAGUAACACGUGAGUAACCUGCCCUUGACUUUGGGAUAACUUCAGGAAACUGGGGCUAAUACCGGAUAGGAGCUCCUGCUGCAUGGUGGGGGUUGGAAAGUUUCGGCGGUUGGGGAUGGACUCGCGGCUUAUCAGCUUGUUGGUGGGGUAGUGGCUUACCAAGGCUUUGACAGGUAGCCGGCCUGAGAGGGUGACCGGCCACAUUGGGACUGAGAUACGGCCCAGACUCCUACGGGAGGCAGCAGUGGGGAAUAUUGCACAAUGGGCGGAAGCGUGAUGCAGCAACGCCGCGUGCGGGAUGACGGCCUUCGGGUUGUAAACCGCUUUCGCCUGUGACGAAGCGUGAGUGACGGUAAUGGGUAAAGAAGCACCGGCUAACUACGUG
This 468-nucleotide ribosomal RNA is filed under the name uncultured bacterium. RNAcentral's name for it is "partial 16S ribosomal RNA". It matches the Rfam family "Bacterial small subunit ribosomal RNA", at positions 28 to 507 of the family's 1533-position model. The record is from RNAcentral.